CCUUCCGCGGGGGACAACAGUCCGAAAGGAUUGCUAAUACCGCAUACGUCGGCGAGGUCUACGGACUUUGUCGGGAAAGAUGGCCUCUCCUUGGAAGCUGUCACCGGAAGAUGAGCCCGCGUCCCAUCAGCUAGUUGGCGAGGUAAUGGCUCACCAAGGCUUAGACGGGUAGCUGGUCUGAGAGGAUGAUCAGCCACACUGGGACUGCGACACGGCCCAG
RNAcentral lists this ribosomal RNA (220 nucleotides) under uncultured bacterium. RNAcentral's name for it is "partial 16S ribosomal RNA". It matches the Rfam family "Bacterial small subunit ribosomal RNA", at positions 129 to 334 of the family's 1533-position model. The record is from RNAcentral.